GGGUGUGUGGGGAGCGCUUGGGUCCCACGCUGACCCAUCCCGAACCAGGCCGUGAAACCAAGCAGCGCCGAAGGUACUGGCGGGGCACCCGCUGGGAGAGUAGGUCGAUGCACUCA
RNAcentral lists this ribosomal RNA (116 nucleotides) under Chloroflexaceae bacterium. Lineage: Bacteria; Bacillati; Chloroflexota; Chloroflexia; Chloroflexales; Chloroflexaceae. The record is from RNAcentral.